GGGCACUGUCUCAACGAGAGACUCGGUGAAAUCAUAGUACCUGUGAAGAUGCAGGUUACCCGCGACAGGACGGAAAGACCCCGUGGAGCUUUACUGUAGCCUGAUAUUGAAAUUCGGCACAGCUUGUACAGGAUAGGUAGGAGCCUUUGAAACGUGAGCGCUAGCUUACGUGGAGGCGCUGGUGGGAUACUACCCUAGCUGUGUUGGCUUUCUAACCCGCACCACUUAUCGUGGUGGGAGACAGUGUCAGGCGGGCAGUUUGACUGGGGCGGUCGCCUCCUAAAAGGUAACGGAGGCGCUCAAAGGUUCCCUCAGAAUGGUUGGAAAUCAUUCAUAGAGUGUAAAGGCAUAAGGGAGCUUGACUGCGA
RNAcentral lists this ribosomal RNA (368 nucleotides) under Staphylococcus aureus. RNAcentral describes it as "partial 23S ribosomal RNA". It matches the Rfam family "Bacterial large subunit ribosomal RNA", at positions 2011 to 2378 of the family's 2925-position model. The record is from RNAcentral. Lineage: Bacteria; Bacillati; Bacillota; Bacilli; Caryophanales; Staphylococcaceae.